AUACGUGGGGGGCAAGCGUUAUCCGGAAUUAUUGGGCGUAAAGAGUGCGUAGGUGGUUUUGUAAGCGCGGGGUGAAAGGCAAUGGCUCAACCAUUGUAAGCCUUGCGAACUGCAAGACUUGAGUGCAGGAGAGGAAAGUGGAAUUCCUAGUGUAGCGGUGAAAUGCGUAGAUAUUAGGAGGAACACCAGUGGCGAAGGCGACUUUCUGGACUGUAACUGACACUGAGGCACGAAAGCGUGGGGAGCAAACAGGAUUAGAUACCCUGGUAGUCCACGCCGUAAACGAUGAGCACUAGGUGUCGGGGCCGCAAGGUUUCGGUGCCGCAGUUAACGCAUUAAGUGCUCCGCCUGGGGAGUACGCACGCAAGUGUGAAACUCAAAUGAAUUGACGGGG
Molecule: ribosomal RNA, 394 nt
Filed under: uncultured bacterium
Lineage: Bacteria
Description: partial 16S ribosomal RNA
Rfam family: Bacterial small subunit ribosomal RNA
Source: RNAcentral